AGCAGCCGCGGUAAUUCCAGCUCCAAUAGCGUAUAUUAAAGUUGUUGCAGUUAAAAAGCUCGUAGUUGAAUUUCGGGAUCAGUACGCUGGUCAUGCCUUUGGUAUGCACUGGUGUCACUGGUUUCUCCCUUCUGAAGAACCGUGAUGUCAUUAAUUUGGUGUCGCGGGGAAUCAGGACUGUUACUUUGAAAAAAUUAGAGUGUUUAAAGCAGGCUCACGCUUGAAUACAUUAGCAUGGAAUAAUGAAAUAGGACGUUUGACCCUAUUUUGUUGGUUUCUAGGAUCGACGUAAUGAUUAAUAGGGAUAGUUGGGGGCAUUAGUAUUCAAUUGUCAGAGGUGAAAUUCUUGGAUUUAUUGAAGACUAACUACCGCGAAAGCAUUUGCCAAGGAUGUUUUCAUUAAUCAAGAACGAAAGUUAGGGGAUCGAAGACGAUCAGAUACCGUCGUAGUCUUAACCAUAAACUAUGCCGACUAGGGAUCGGAUGAUGUUAAUUUUAUAAUGACUC
This 507-nucleotide ribosomal RNA is filed under the name uncultured Glomeromycotina. RNAcentral's name for it is "SSU rRNA". It matches the Rfam family "Eukaryotic small subunit ribosomal RNA", at positions 569 to 1077 of the family's 1831-position model. The record is from RNAcentral. Lineage: Eukaryota; Fungi; Glomeromycota.